AACAUUACACACUAAAAAAAGAAAAAAAUCACCCUCACCAAGAUUUCCCUGAGAAGAUGCCUUGAGCUUUUUCAAAACAAGUACCGAAGUUCAAACAGCAGGCGUGAAGUGAAGUUUCUGAUUAAACAUUACUUCUAUGUCAUUCCUGACAAAACGGAAAGCAUUUAUUGUCAUGAAAGACACAGAAUAGCACUUUAAUUCUGCCUAUUGCUGGUUCCACAUGGAAGCUGUCAUAAUUUAGUGUAAUGUUAAAGAGGAAAUGCUUUCCAUAUGCCCUACUUUUGUGCCAGCUAGCAGAUGUUCGGAGAUGAAAAUUGUCCUCUUUAAGGAGUUUAUAAACAUUAGGAGCAGCAAAAUGGCACAGAAACGCAAUAUAAGUCACUAAUCAAUUUGUGUGCUUUCUGCCGGAGAUAUUGAAGUUGAGAGAUUAUACUUACAUGAUUGGUUCCAGAACCAAGUGCGUUGCCUAAAUGGCUCUAAGAGAAAGCUAAACUCAUAAGCGACUGAUUCAGAACACGUUUUAUGCAGCAACUCCAUAGAAAUAAUAUUCAUCACAUGACGUGCACAAGAGACUUUACUCAAUUGAUCACAAUACAGUUUUACAUUAGCAUGCUGCCAAGUUAAUAUGUGAAACUCUUAUGCGCAGAAAAAUACAUGGCUCACAGUGAUGUAAGUUAAUUUAAAAAAAAAAAAAAUGAUAUAACCUAUCUUGAAAUUCAGUGAUACCCAUGUGCAAAAGAAGUGUGUUUAUUUUAUUGAAUCGUUGACAGAAUUAUCUGGCAAGUGAAAAUUGCAAAUAUGAUUUGAAAAGUAAGUUACUGACUCACAUGAUUUGAGGUAACAUUCAUAUUCGUAGCACAAACGGUGUGCAGUAGUGCUUCCCUUAGCAAACAUGGCUACGGUUAGCUAAAAGAAUUAGAUAGGUUUAACGAACUUAAUUAAUCUCGUAAAUUAAUUCAUCAACUCUGCCAGCACUAAUAUUUUCACAUCACAAUACGUGUGAGAACAUAGAAAAUGAAAGAAAUGGUGAAAGGAAGAAAGAAAGAAGAAUAAAAACAAAAACAUCCCAGUGGCUUGUAUCCUGAGGGAAAUGAGGACAGAGUCCUGUUAUAAAUCUCACUCGCUCUUCACCCAGUGGACUCUGAAUGAAGAUAUUUGAUGUAACGUAGUGCUCUCUGCUCUUCUAUCUCUCCUGAGGGCAAGAAGUCACCGUCAAAAUAAACUUCCCUGUCAGACACUCUCAUUUCCAGCCUUCUCCUGAAUGAUGUCAGGCUUUUCUCUUUUGGAUAAAGGUAUGUGCACCGGGAUGACAGACGAAUAAAAGCAAUCACUGGUAUCUUCAAAUCACAACGUCAGCGCCAAUGAACGCGGCCAAAUACAUACUCCGCGCAAGUACAUAAAUGCAAACGCUUCUAGCUACAGAAGCUCAAUUUCACGCGUCGUUGCGUUCUGAAAGGUGUCAGAACAGAAUUCGUACCAAAACUACUUGCAGUCUCAGCUUUGCCACAAGGGCCGGUAUAACGGCAUUAUUGUAAACUGUAUAAGUCAACUACUGCCAAGAGAAUGUGAGCUAAAAUGCGUUAAUCUGCCCAUUUUGCUAGAUAGCUCAGCUGUUUUUAAAAGUGUGAACAUUGAUUUUUCUAAAAUAGUCUGAAUGUAAUUAGCUAUUUUAUUCUACUUUUGUAUGAUGAUUAGCUUUUAGCUUAGCAAAUGCCUGGUUCAGAUGAAGCAGUGAGUGUUGUAUUGGCUGUCCUGUGUUCAGAAAAAAGUACAAAAAAGAAAGUAAACACUCACAAACUACAUUUCCCAUAACUCACUGCCCGGACUCAUCAGCUCUCAUCUCAUUCACCUGUUUCUCAUUAUCUUGUUUAGUUCAUACCAUAAAUACAUGGUUUUCACAUUCACUUAGUGCAAAGUCUUGUUUUACUGUUAGUGGCAAUUCUGAGCGGUUUCCCGCCCAUGUCUGAUUCCUGUGUUUUUGACCCUGGACUGUUUCUCUUGAUUCUGAUUCUUGCUGCCUGCCUCGACCCUCUGCCUGUAUCUGGUUUGUCUCUGCCUUGCCUCCAUUGCUCUGUUUGCUGUUGUUGAUCCCUGCCUGUUUGAUGAUUCUUCAAUAAAUACUGCGUAUGGAUCCCCUGGUGUCUGCUGCCUCAUAACACCUGGAUUGCUCGAGGAGGACCGUAUGGGCUGUCAAUCCUCCAAAGAGAACUUGAGAUGUCGGCUGUCUUCACUGAUGUUGAUGCAAUUAUAGGCAAGCUGUUUGAAAGGAACAAUUCAAACACGGUGUUGGAAAACGAUUGAGCACUUGUGUACAAAGCUCUGUGCUUGCCAAAGAGCAGACGCAGCACAGCAUCACGGGACGUCGCCUAACCCAAAUGUUUCAGCACUGCAAUAACACACAGCUUGGUCAACUCCUCAGUUGGCGGAGCGCCUAGCUGUAGCGCUGGAUACCCCUCUGUUGACGGCCCUCUGACUCCUCCGCCCCCUGGUGGAUGGUCAACGGCUCCUCCAGCUUUGGGCACCCGGCAGUGAGUCCUCCGUUCCCUGCUCCUCCCCAUCAUGUCUCCAGCCUCAGGCAAACAGCUGCUACUCUUCCGCUCCCUCUAAUACGGUAGCCGUCCCUCCACAUCCCAGGCGGAUUGCAGCAAGUUCGUCUUUCCCUUCCGGCAAGUCACUCCAACCCACCGCCACGAGCGUCCAUGUCUGCUCAGACUCUCCUCAGCCGAGCUUGAUGUCAUCACUCCUCCUUUUCUCCUUCCGGAGCUCCUCCGUGAGACUCAAGACCAGUGUGGCGUGCAGAUGACACUCAUUAGCACUCACGCUCCGUUCCCUCGGCUCUCGGCCCUGUCCUGCUUGUUACACACGUGCUUCAGACACCAGUCACAUUGGAGGCAUUCCCCAUAGCAUCUAAUUCAGACACAGUGUGAGUUCCCAUUGAAAAAGGGAACCCAUUGAUCCAUGUAAUUGAUGCAACAAAGGCCAAGCCUCAGUCAAUUCACAAUAAUUUCAACUCAAGUAUAUUUUCUUCUGUAAGAACGGCACGAUUCUGGAUUGUUGAUGCUUCUCAAAGAAAUGUAUUUAAGGCAAUUCAGGCGUAAGUGGGACCUGUAUUACAUAUUUACACAAUUUUCAGCAGAAAAUCACAAUUUAAGUAUCUCAUUUCCACCAUUCAAUCCCAAGACAUUUUCGGACUAUCUCAUAAAGUGAACUAAUAAACCCAGUAAUCAGCCUCCCUCAAUGGACAUUGUGUGUGACAGCCGGAAGGCAGGUCCCCUAAUUCCCAGUAAUGGCUGGUUAUUGCUGAAUAUAUCUUUGAGAAUGGAGGAAAUAAUGGGACAUGCUGCUCUUGGGUGCCCAUAUAAUCCAGCCAUUAGAAUUUAAUGUGAGUUAGCCCUUAUG
Long non-coding RNA from Pimephales promelas (fathead minnow), 3399 nucleotides. RefSeq lists it as uncharacterized. Lineage: Eukaryota; Metazoa; Chordata; Actinopteri; Cypriniformes; Leuciscidae. The record is from RefSeq and is a predicted model, not a curated record.